UUAAGUUCAGCGGGUAGUCCUACCUGAUCCGAGGUCAACUUUUUGGGAGUAGCGUUAUUAGCGCUAUGGAGCGGGAGGCAGAACCGCGCCACGGCCGCCGGAGCGUUAAAGUUAGGUAACUACUGCGCUCAGGGCCGCGGCGGAUCCGCCGCUAGAUUUGGGGGCCUGCGGGGGUGCCGCAGCGCCCCAACGCUAGACAC
Molecule: unclassified non-coding RNA, 200 nt
Filed under: Sordariomycetes sp.
Lineage: Eukaryota; Fungi; Ascomycota; Sordariomycetes
Description: partial internal transcribed spacer 2
Source: RNAcentral